Molecule: long non-coding RNA, 1266 nt
Organism: Tetranychus urticae (two-spotted spider mite)
Lineage: Eukaryota; Metazoa; Arthropoda; Arachnida; Trombidiformes; Tetranychidae
Source: RefSeq, a predicted model, not a curated record
UUCAGUUAUUUUUCAAAGGUUUCAAUGUUAAUCGGUUUGUCCAUUUCAAUUUCAGGCUCUUUGAAUAAUUUAAGGUCAUUGGGUAGAUCAAGUUUGUUUGGUCAAAGGAUGGAAUCAAGAAAUAAUCAUUAUCUACUGUUCACCUUUAACUUUAUUAAUAAUAUACUUGGACAUGAAGCUUCAGAUGAAAGGAAUCUUGGAGACUGACUGUUGACUAGAUGAUGGAGGAUCAAUCUCAGGUUAAAUGAUUUUCAAUCUCAAUGUCUUGAAGGUACAACAAGCCAAGAAGGAAAAAAGCUCUACUUCGUCUUGGUUUCUUUAGCAAAAAGGAUUAAGUUGAUCUUUUUAUUUUUCUCACUGAACAAGAAGACGUAAAAGACAGACGAACCCAAAGUUGAAGAAAAGCAAGACAAAAAUAAUCCAAUGGAUUCAUUUCAAUUCCUAUCCAAUUGCAAUCCGAAUCUGAAAUUAUGGAACCUUAAUCAAGAAAAGUUAACGAUCCUGUAAUGUUGACAGUAUUUUUGAAUCCAUUGCUGACUGAUGAUCACUGCUUAUCAUAAUUAUGAUGCUCUGAGUUAAUUUGUUUGAUUCUCUCUCCUGAGAAUUAACUCUACCGAAGUUGAUUGCUCAAUUAGAAACUAAUUAUCAACAUUUGAAUAAGUCGCUUGGUAAAUUGGUUGUAAUUGUGAUGACGGUGAUGUUAAUAGUUGAGGUCAUUGGUUGGGUCACAGGUAAAUGUGUAAAAAAAGGAGAAAUAAUAAACGAGUUAAUUGUCAGUUCAAUAAUUAUCCUUAAUUGUUAAUAUAAUUUGUUAAAGGAUUCAAUUUCAAUCAUAAACGUACGAAAAAACCAAAAAGAGUAAAGUAAAUGUAAUAAAUGAUAUUAAUAAUGAUUUGAUGCUGUGAUCAUUGAUCAGUGGUUUAAGGGCGAAAUCUCAUAUUAAUAAUAAUGAAACCUCUUGAGGGUUAAUUUGACUUGAUUAAGGUUGAUGACACAUUCAAUAAUCAAAAUGAAAAUCAAUGAACAAAAAAUCAAUUGCAAUUAACAUCUGAACACUUUAAUCUAUUGGGAUAAAUUUACCUUGAAAGUGAAACAUUACACUCCUAACAUCUCUAUUAGUAUCAUAUUUAGAUCAUUGGAAUUGUUAAUUGUCUUAAUAGAGAGUAAACCAUUCCGAGUUAACCAUCAAUCAAAUGAACUGGAAAUCAACAAAUAAGCUCAUUUUCCUGAUAAUUAUAACAUUGAACUAAUAUGGUGGUUAUUUGC